CCUACGGGGGGCAGCAGUGAGGAAUAUUGGUCAAUGGAGGCAACUCUGAACCAGCCAAGUCGCGUGAAGGAUGAAGGUCUUAUGGAUUGUAAACUUCUUUUGUAAGGGAAUAAAGUGAGCCACGUGUGGUUUUUUGCAUGUACCUUACGAAUAAGGAUCGGCUAACUCCGUGCCAGCAGCCGCGGUAAUACGGAGGAUCCGAGCGUUAUCCGGAUUUAUUGGGUUUAAAGGGUGCGCAGGCGGGAUGUUAAGUCGGCGGUGAAAUUUUGCGGCUC
RNAcentral lists this ribosomal RNA (275 nucleotides) under uncultured Petrimonas sp. Its description in RNAcentral is "partial 16S ribosomal RNA". It matches the Rfam family "Bacterial small subunit ribosomal RNA", at positions 338 to 610 of the family's 1533-position model. The record is from RNAcentral. Lineage: Bacteria; Pseudomonadati; Bacteroidota; Bacteroidia; Bacteroidales; Dysgonomonadaceae.